This 253-nucleotide ribosomal RNA is filed under the name uncultured bacterium. Its description in RNAcentral is "partial 16S ribosomal RNA". It matches the Rfam family "Bacterial small subunit ribosomal RNA", at positions 524 to 776 of the family's 1533-position model. The record is from RNAcentral.
UACGUAGGGUGCAAGCGUUAAUCGGAAUUACUGGGCGUAAAGCGUGCGCAGGCGGUUUUGUAAGUCUGACGUGAAAUCCCCGGGCUCAACCUGGGAAUUGCGUUGGAGACUGCAAGGCUUGAAUCUGGCAGAGGGGGGUAGAAUUCCACGUGUAGCAGUGAAAUGCGUAGAGAUGUGGAGGAACACCGAUGGCGAAGGCAGCCCCUUGGGUCAAGAUUGACGCUCAUGCACGAAAGCGUGGGGAGCAAACAGG